UCGCCCUGUUUUACAAAAACAUGGUCUUUUGUUUAUAUAAAAGAUUUGACCUGCCCUAUGAUUUAUUAAAUGGCUGCAGUAUUUUGACUGUACAAAGGUAGCAUAAUCAUUUGUCUUUUAAUUGAAGGCUGGUAUGAAUGGUUGGAUGAGAAAUAUACUUUCUUUACUUUAUAUAAAAAAAUUAAUUUUUUAGUCAAAAAGCUAAAAUGUUUUUAUAGGACGAGAAGACCCUAUAGAACUUUAUUUUUUUUAUAUAUAAAUUUUUUAGAUUUUUAUAAAAUUAUAUAUUAAUAUUAAUUUUAUUGGGGUGAUAGAAAAAAAUAUAUAACUUUUUCUAUUUUAUACAUUUAUUUAUGUUCUUUUGAUCUUUUAUUAGAGAAAUAAGAUUAAGUUACCUUAGGGAUAACAGCGUUAUUUUCUUGGAGAGUUCUUAUCGAUAAGAAAGUUUGCGACCUCGAUGUUGGAUUAAAAUAAGUAAUGGGAGUAGAAUAUCAUUUACUAGGUCUGUUCGACCUUUAAAUUUUUACAUGAUCUAGUUUCCAACCGGGA
RNAcentral lists this ribosomal RNA (549 nucleotides) under Castanopsides potanini. RNAcentral describes it as "partial small subunit ribosomal RNA". It matches the Rfam family "Bacterial large subunit ribosomal RNA", at positions 1795 to 2624 of the family's 2925-position model. The record is from RNAcentral. Lineage: Eukaryota; Metazoa; Arthropoda; Insecta; Hemiptera; Miridae.